Non-coding RNA from Benincasa hispida (wax gourd), 1504 nucleotides. NCBI's taxonomy places the organism in Eukaryota, Viridiplantae, Streptophyta, Magnoliopsida, Cucurbitales, Cucurbitaceae. The record is from RefSeq and is a predicted model, not a curated record.
AAUAUUAUAAGUGACGGAUCCAAUUUAGUAAAAAUAAAUAUAAUGAGGGAAUUUGAACCCCUGCACCCCUGCUAAAUCCUGAGUUAAUGGCUUCCAUUCCCGUCGGCUCCACUGAAUAUUGAGAUCGGAAACUUGGGUUGCGACUGUGAUCGUUGAGACCGAACCAUGCCUGGACCUGGGCCGCACAUGCUCUACGCCAUGGGCUCAGGCACCGCUCUGACGACUCUCACCGACGGCCGAUUCAGCCCCCACCAUACCCUCAUUUACACCGUCAACGCCUUCUUCGGCCCCGACAUCGGCUCCUUCUCCGAUUGGCUGUCCUCCGUUCUCGGUUUCUCAGGAUCUUCCGUUCCCGACGCAAUCCAUCAUCCCGUUUUCUACAUUCUCAUUCUGGGUCUUCCUCUCUGCCUCUUCUACUCCUGGCUCUCCUCUUUUCUACUCCAAAAGGGCCUCCUCGAGUCCGUCUCUGGGGUAUCUCUUAAUAGAAGGCAAUGCUUGUUGCUAAUCUCAGCUGGUUCUUUUUCACACUUCUUUCUUGACCAUUUGUUUGAGGAAAACGGGCAUUCGUCAACAUACACUUGGAUAUUGAGCACUGGUUGGUGGGAGAACCGAGCACCAAUCAAUCCAGAUGCUGUUAUGGUUGUUGGAUUCUUGUGCACUUGCUUAAUUGGCGGCUUUGUUUACAUUAACAGGAAGACAAAACGCAGCAGUAUGGAUCUAAACAGCAGAGUUACACAGCCAGUUAGCUAGAUCUUAGGAGUAUGCAUAGCAUAGCAUGGCAUAGGCUUAUGAACAAAUGUGAGAAAAAGAAAGAAGAAACCACCUCUGGGUUGUAGAACUUAGGGGGUCCUUUUGCAACACCAAAAUUUCCUGGAUCCAACAGGUUCACCGGGUGUUUGAAGUCGACUGAUGGACCGGCGGUUGAACAGAGCAUGAAGCCGAUCACUCCACUGAAUUUGGAUCAUUUAACAGGGAAAAGAAAGGUAUCAGAAAACUUCAGAUUGUGCAGAAACAUAAAAGUAAAGAAUUUUGGAAAUGAAACAAAGCUAUAUAUAGGAUUUGUUUUCGGUUGGGUUUACCUUGGAUAUGAAGGAACAGAGGUCCAAGCAUAGUUUACAGAGCCUUUGAAGAUGUCACGGCAAAGAGUUAUGGUAUCUUCCAUGGCGAAAUUGUUUUGCCAUAUGCUGUCAGCCGGAGUCGACAUUACGCCACCGGGCUUCAAAGCCGUUGCCAUUGAUUUAACAUCAUAGGUGGCUGGAGGAACAGAUUUGAUGAAGGCCACACCUAAAACAACGAGCAACCAUUAUGACAAUUAGAAACAACACGAAACACAAAAUCCGACAACAUUCCUCGAACGACAUGUAGUUCUAUGUUUCAUACCGUCGCCUAUGCAUACAUUCACACGAGGAUCCUUGUACCCGAUAGCAAUGUCUGGGAAAUACCUUUUGUAAACCUAAAUGAAACACCAUUUUAUUAAUUAGUAAGGAAAAACAAAUUCUUUUCA